GAGACAUGAUGAUUCUACUUUGGUCCGUGUUUAUGAAUUUCUUAUUGAUUUUUUUCAAAGUGCUGAUCUC
This 70-nucleotide small nucleolar RNA is filed under the name Zootermopsis nevadensis. Its description in RNAcentral is "Small nucleolar RNA SNORD18". It matches the Rfam family "Small nucleolar RNA SNORD18". Rfam says of the family: U18 is a member of the C/D class of snoRNA which contain the C (UGAUGA) and D (CUGA) box motifs. It is encoded in introns of ribosomal protein L1 in Xenopus and human, and in introns of elongation factor 1 beta in yeast. Lineage: Eukaryota; Metazoa; Arthropoda; Insecta; Blattodea; Termopsidae. The record is from Rfam by way of RNAcentral.